GAUGAAGAACGCAGCGAAAUGCGAUAAGUAAUGUGAAUUGCAGAAUUCAGUGAAUCAUCGAAUCUUUGAACGCACCUUGCGCUCCUUGGUAUUCCGAGGAGCAUGCCUGUUUGAGUGUCAUUAAAUUCUCAACCUCACCAGUUUUGUUAUGAGACUGUGUG
RNAcentral lists this ribosomal RNA (161 nucleotides) under Coprinellus sp. 9 LGN-2011. Its description in RNAcentral is "5.8S ribosomal RNA". The stretch from base 1 to 120 matches the Rfam family "5.8S ribosomal RNA", at positions 35 to 154 of the family's 154-position model. From Rfam's summary of the family: 5.8S ribosomal RNA (5.8S rRNA) is a component of the large subunit of the eukaryotic ribosome. It is transcribed by RNA polymerase I as part of the 45S precursor that also contains 18S and 28S rRNA. Lineage: Eukaryota; Fungi; Basidiomycota; Agaricomycetes; Agaricales; Psathyrellaceae. The record is from RNAcentral.